Molecule: ribosomal RNA, 489 nt
Filed under: Triticum aestivum (bread wheat)
Lineage: Eukaryota; Viridiplantae; Streptophyta; Magnoliopsida; Poales; Poaceae
Description: partial small subunit ribosomal RNA
Source: RNAcentral
AAACAACAGCGAGAUGCUGCCAGGAAGGGCGUCGUGAGGAAGAAGGCAGUGACCCGCUCCGUCAAGGCUGGGCUCCAGUUCCCCGUCGGCCGCAUCGGGCGCUACCUCAAGAAGGGCCGCUACGCGCAGCGCGUCGGCUCCGGCGCCCCGGUCUACCUCGCCGCCGUUCUUGAGUACCUCGCCGCCGAGGUCCUGGAGCUCGCCGGCGACGCGGCCAAGGAAAGCAAGAAGGCGCGCAUCAUCCCGCGCCACCUGAUGAUAGCCGUCCAGGGCGACCCGGAGAUCAGCCGGCUGCUCGCCGGCGUCACCAUCGCCCACGGCGGCGUGGUGCCCUACAUCAACUCCGCGCUGCUCCCCAAGAAGAAGGCCGCCGGCGCCGCAGAGAAGUCCCCCAAGAAGACGGCCGCCGCUACCAAGUCCCCCAAGAAGACGGCCGCCGCUACCAAGUCCCCCAAGAAGACGGCCGCCGCUACCAAGUCCCCCAAGUAG